Long non-coding RNA from Lactuca sativa (garden lettuce), 449 nucleotides. RefSeq lists it as uncharacterized. Lineage: Eukaryota; Viridiplantae; Streptophyta; Magnoliopsida; Asterales; Asteraceae. The record is from RefSeq and is a predicted model, not a curated record.
UGGGACCACAUAGCCUUUUGAAAGGCUUUCACAGUUUGAAAAAAGAAUACACGUGUGACCUUUCGUUUUUUCUUUGCAAGAGUAUUGAGAGACUGAUGUGGAAGAUCUAAGCCAUUUAACAAGAUGCGAAGGUACUUCGAUUCCUCUAAUGUAUUCAAAACAAAAGUUACAUUGGAAUUGACGCAUAUGGCAUGGUUAUUACGUGUGCCUUUCAUUGCACUCUUAGAUCAUUCAACGAGUUAUGAAUCUUGAUUUUGACGGCUUAUUGGAGGUUAUAUGGGACGGGUUCAUAUUGUUUGAGUUGGCACUGACAGUUCAUUGGAGGUUCUGUUGAUAUAUAGUACUAUUGUUUAUGGUUGUUUGGCUUUGGUUCAUGCUUUUUAUGCAAUGUCUUAUGUACUUUAUUUCUCUCAUUUUCCUUGUAAUCACUAUUCUAGUUUUUAGCUUCU